Molecule: ribosomal RNA, 407 nt
Filed under: uncultured Glomeromycotina
Lineage: Eukaryota; Fungi; Glomeromycota
Description: SSU rRNA
Rfam family: Eukaryotic small subunit ribosomal RNA
Source: RNAcentral
UUGUCCGUACUGAUGUGAUGGGUUCUUACCUUCUGAAUAACCAGCAUGUCAUUAAUUUGGUGUGUUGGGGAAGCAGGACUAUUACCUUGAAAAAAUUAGAGUGCUCAAAGCAGGCUAGUGCCUGAAUACAUUAGCAUGGAAUAAUAAAAUAGGACGGCAUGGUUCUAUUUUGUUGGUUUCUAGGAUCACCGUAAUGAUUAAUAGGGAUAGUUGGGGGCAUUAGUAUUCAAUUGUCAGAGGUGAAAUUCUUGGAUUUAUUGAAGACGAACUUCUGCGAAAGCAUUUGCCAAGGAUGUUUUCAUUAAUCAAGAACGAAAGUUAGGGGAUCGAAGACGAUCAGAUACCGUCGUAGUCUUAACCAUAAACUAUGCCGACUAGGGAUCGGACGAUGUUAAUUUUUCAAUGAC